UGGGGUUGUAGCUCAGUGGUGGAGUGCUUGCCUAGCAUGCGUGAGGCACUGGGUUCGAUUCUCAGCACCACAA
RNAcentral lists this transfer RNA (73 nucleotides) under Marmota monax (woodchuck). RNAcentral describes it as "tRNA.Ala". It matches the Rfam family "tRNA". From Rfam's summary of the family: Transfer RNA (tRNA) molecules are approximately 80 nucleotides in length. The record is from RNAcentral. Lineage: Eukaryota; Metazoa; Chordata; Mammalia; Rodentia; Sciuridae.